Molecule: ribosomal RNA, 175 nt
Filed under: Enterobacter hormaechei
Lineage: Bacteria; Pseudomonadati; Pseudomonadota; Gammaproteobacteria; Enterobacterales; Enterobacteriaceae
Also listed under: 1 other name
Description: partial 23S ribosomal RNA
Rfam family: Bacterial large subunit ribosomal RNA
Source: RNAcentral
GGUUAAGCGACUAAGCGUACACGGUGGAUGCCCUGGCAGUCAGAGGCGAUGAAGGACGUGCUAAUCUGCGAAAAGCGCCGGCGAGGUGAUAUGAACCCUUGACCCGGCGAUGUCCGAAUGGGGAAACCCAGUGUGUUCCGACACACUAUCGUUAACUGAAUACAUAGGUUAACGA